Molecule: small RNA, 100 nt
Filed under: Pongo abelii (Sumatran orangutan)
Lineage: Eukaryota; Metazoa; Chordata; Mammalia; Primates; Hominidae
Description: processed transcript
Source: RNAcentral
GCAGAAUCUUGGACCCCAUGCAGAUGUCCUGAUCAGAAAACGCACUGUAACAAGAUCCCAGGUGAUGUCAUUGUCUAUAUUAAUGAAGUUUGUGUCCUUG